UCCCUGGUGGUCCAGUGGCUAAGACUUUGCCUUCCAAUGCAAGGGGUUCAGGUUCGACCCCUGGUUGGGGAA
This 72-nucleotide transfer RNA is filed under the name Ovis aries (sheep). It matches the Rfam family "tRNA". Rfam says of the family: Transfer RNA (tRNA) molecules are approximately 80 nucleotides in length. Their secondary structure includes four short double-helical elements and three loops (D, anti-codon, and T loops). Further hydrogen bonds mediate the characteristic L-shaped molecular structure. tRNAs have two regions of fundamental functional importance: the anti-codon, which is responsible for specific mRNA codon recognition, and the 3' end, to which the tRNAs corresponding amino acid is attached (by aminoacyl-tRNA synthetases). tRNAs cope with the degeneracy of the genetic code in two manners: having more than one tRNA (with a specific anti-codon) for a particular amino acid; and 'wobble' base-pairing, i.e. permitting non-standard base-pairing at the 3rd anti-codon position. Lineage: Eukaryota; Metazoa; Chordata; Mammalia; Artiodactyla; Bovidae. The record is from Rfam by way of RNAcentral.